This 324-nucleotide unclassified non-coding RNA is filed under the name soil metagenome. Its description in RNAcentral is "partial contains 5.8S ribosomal RNA, internal transcribed spacer 2, and large subunit ribosomal RNA". The stretch from base 1 to 120 matches the Rfam family "5.8S ribosomal RNA", at positions 35 to 154 of the family's 154-position model. The record is from RNAcentral.
GAUGAAGAACGCAGCGAAAUGCGAUAAGUAGUGUGAAUUGCAGAAUUCAGUGAAUCAUCGAAUCUUUGAACGCACAUUGCGCCCCUUGGUAUUCCAUGGGGCAUGCCUGUUCGAGCGUCAUUUGUACCUUCAAGCUUUGCUUGGUGUUGGGUGUUUGUCCCGAGGGACUCGCCUUAAAGUAAUUGGCAGCCAGUGUUUGGUUUUGAAGCGCAGCACAAGUCGCGAUUCAAGGCUACACGCCCGCUUCCAGAAGCCUUUUUUCACUUUUGACCUCGGAUCAGGUAGGGAUACCCGCUGAACUUAAGCAUAUCAAUAAGCGGAGGA